GAUCGGGUAGCUUUGUAAACUUAUACAAUGUAGAGCGUUGGAUCCUGCUAGUGUACUUAAAAACAAGGAUAGAACGUGCAAUAUUGUCUGUUAGCUUUGAAAACUUAAUUUUGCUUUUCAAUGAUAUGGCAUUCCAUAAUCUCUUACUACAAUCCAUUUACAAAUAAACAGAACAAGACUAUAUUAGUAAAAAAGUAAAUUCCCAAAUACUUUCUUUGCAUUAUUUCUGUUGAAGUGUUACAGUACUGGAAAUUUAGCAUCACUGUCCACCAUUACCUAUGCUUAUAUACAAUUGCUGUUUUUUUUUUUUUGUACAGGUCGUGCGUCGGCUGCAUCAAAAAGUUCUGAUAAAGGAAGGCCACCAAAGGGAAGAGGGCGCGGAAGAGCAUCAAAAAAAUAGCUUUUAUGAUCUUGUAUUUACAUUUUUGUUUUGUAUUGUCUAGAGAAAUAUAGUUGCUGUUUCCAUUCUGUAUUUUUGGAAUAAACAUUUUAUUAAAAAUAAAAAAAAACUUUAUAUUUUUAGAAUCACAAACCAGUGAUUCACCAGUAGUAAGAUAGGAUUGCAAGCUACACAUAAUUAAAAAUAAAACACAUUGUGGGAGGAAAAACAGAUUUACAGGGACAUUAGGCACCAAAACAACUUCAGAUUAAGUUACCCACUUGCUCUCUUUUCAGUUAUUUAUCAGACUGCAAAACAGGCUUGUGUAACCCGUAGAUCUGUCUAGUUGUCCUGCUAAUAUCAGAGAACCAGCAAUUUCUUACACCGCAUGCUGAC
Molecule: non-coding RNA, 775 nt
Organism: Pelobates cultripes (western spadefoot toad)
Lineage: Eukaryota; Metazoa; Chordata; Amphibia; Anura; Pelobatidae
Source: the annotation of a GenBank genome assembly